RNAcentral lists this ribosomal RNA (227 nucleotides) under Clostridioides sp. ZZV15-6383. Its description in RNAcentral is "partial 16S ribosomal RNA". It matches the Rfam family "Bacterial small subunit ribosomal RNA", at positions 296 to 540 of the family's 1533-position model. Lineage: Bacteria; Bacillati; Bacillota; Clostridia; Peptostreptococcales; Peptostreptococcaceae. The record is from RNAcentral.
GAGGGUGAUCGGCCACAUUGGAACUGAGACACGGUCCAAACUCCUACGGGAGGCAGCAGUGGGGAAUAUUGCACAAUGGGCGAAAGCCUGAUGCAGCAACGCCGCGUGAGUGAUGAAGGCCUUCGGGUCGUAAAACUCUGUCCUCAAGGAAGAUAAUGACGGUACUUGAGGAGGAAGCCCCGGCUAACUACGUGCCAGCAGCCGCGGUAAUACGUAGGGGGCUAGCG